UAGGGAAUCUUGGACAAUGGGCGAAAGCCUGAUCCAGCCAUGCCGCGUGAGUGAUGAGGCCUUAGGGUUGUAAAGCUCUUUCGCCAGGGAAGAUAAUGACGGUACCUGGAUAAGAAGCCCCGGCAAACUUCGUGCCAGCAGCCGCGGUAAUACGAAGGGGGCUAGCGUUGUUCGGAAUUACUGGGCGUAAAGCGCACGUAGGCGGUUUUCCAAGUUGGAGGUGAAAUCCCUGGGCCCAACCCGGGAACUGCCUCCAAAACUGGAUGACUCGAGUCCGAGAGAGGUGAGUGGAAUUUCCAGUGUAGAGGUGAAAUUCGUAGAUAUUGGAAAGAACACCAGUGGCGAAGGCGGCUCACUGGCUCGGUACUGACGCUGAGGUGCGACAGCGUGGGGAGCAAAC
Molecule: ribosomal RNA, 400 nt
Filed under: uncultured bacterium
Lineage: Bacteria
Description: bacterial SSU rRNA
Rfam family: Bacterial small subunit ribosomal RNA
Source: RNAcentral